CAUCGCCACCGGCACCGCCAUGGCCUUCCCCGUCCUCAUCCUCCUCCUCGCGGCCUCCGUCCCAGGUCUGCGGGCGGCCGUGACGCUGGAGGAGACCGAAGGCGGCCUCCAAAGCCCCGGGGGCUCCAUGAGGCUCCUCUGCAAGGCCUCGGGCUUCACCUUCGGCAGCUACGGCAUGGGAUGGAUGCGCCAAGCACCGGGGCAGGGGCUCCAAUGGGUCGCAAGCAUCAACAGCAAUGGUGGUAGCACCUGGUACGCGCCGUCGGUGCAGGGCCGAGCCACCAUCACCAUGGACAGCUCCCAGGGCACGGUCACGCUGCAGAUGAGCGGCCUCGCGGCGCAGGACGCGGCCACUUACUACUGCGUGAAGAGGCGUUGGCUUCUUCGCAUUGUGGUCUUCCUGCUUGGAUUGACUUCUGGGGCAGCGGCACCGUCGUCACCGUCUCCUCCGGUAAGUCCUCUGCCCCCUCCCUCUUGCCCCUCUCCCCCUGCUCUUCCUCCUCCUCCUCCUCCUCCUCCCUGUUCUCCGUCGCCUGCGUGGCCGUGGGGUCCGUGCCCCCCGGCGCCGCCAUCGCCUGGCGCGACCGCCACGACCGGACCCACAGCGCCACCGGGGCCUUCCGGGGGGCGCCCCACGGCUCCGGCGCCGCCUCCCUCCUGGUCAUGGAGGGCACCGAGGGCCGGGCCCUGCAGCCCUUCCAGUGCCGCCUGGGCAGCGCCAGCGCCAACGUCACCAACCCCGGCUCCACGUCCCCGUCCGCCCCCUUUGUCCCCACCAUCACCCUGUACCCCCCAUCCCGCGAGGACUUCCAGGGCCCCUACCGCAACGCCACCCUCCUGUGCCACGUCCAAGGCCUCCCCUCGCCCCCCAUCCGCUGGCUCCGGAACGGCCUGGACCUCCUCGACGCCGCCGGUGCCGGCGCCGCCAUCACCGAGACCUUGGCCAACGGCCGCCUCGGCGUCACCAACAGCCUCCUGGUGGUCACCGAGGCCGAGUGGGCCUCCGGGGACAUCUUCACGUGCCAGGUGGGGGACGAGAUGAGGAACAUCAGCAAGGCUCUGGAGUGCGGAUACGACGCCCCCAGUGAGGACAUCACCGUGAAGGUGACGCCGCCGCUCUUCAUGGACAUCUUCAAGGAGAAGGUGGCCAAGCUCUCGUGCCAGGUCCUCAACGUGCCCUCCAUGGACGGCCUGGACGUGUCCUGGUGGAAGGAGGACGGCACCGAGCUCGACACCAAGAGGCUGCCCCACGUCCUGGAGGCCAACGGGCUCUUCAGCGCCAUGGCCGUGGCCAACGUCCGCACCACCGAGUGGGACAGGGGGGACAUCUUCACCUGCAGGGUCACCCACCCCGAGCUGCUCUUCCCUGCCCAGGCCACCCUGCGGAAGGCAGCCGCGAGCGACGCCAAGGCGCCGUCCGUCUUCGUGUUCCCACCUCCCUCCGAGCAGCUUUCCAUGCGGGAAUCGGCCACCAUCACGUGCCUGGUGACGGGCUUCAACCCCCCGGACCUCUUCAUCCAAUGGCUCCGCAACGGGGAUCCGUUCCCGCUGCCGACUACGUGACGUUGCCGCCGACGCCGGAAUCGCGCCCGCGUCCGCCCGCGUCCCGAGCCCAUCCUGCCCCUUCCUACUUCACCUACAGCGCCCUGACGGUGCCGGGAGAGGAUUGGUCCAGGGGGAACAUCUUCACGUGCGUGGUGGGGCACGAGCGCAUCCCCAUGCAGGUGAUGCAGAGAUCCGUGGAUAAAGCCUCCGAGCUCGCCAAGGGGGAGGAGGAGGAGGAGGAAGAGGAAGACCUCGAGAACCUUUGGGCCACGGCCUCGACCUUCAUCGUCCUCUUCAUCCUCAGCCUCUUCUACAGCGCCACUGUCACCUUGAUCAAGGUGAAAUAACCCCAUUCCGAUGGAAUUCCACCUCUCAUCCCCUCCAGUGCUGGAUAUCGAUGGAAUUCUGUGGGAUUCUUCUCCUUUUCCUCCCUGUUGUAAAUAGUUUCCUCCUAAUAAAUAAAGUUUUCCACAUUUU
Molecule: non-coding RNA, 2022 nt
Organism: Pezoporus flaviventris
Lineage: Eukaryota; Metazoa; Chordata; Aves; Psittaciformes; Psittacidae
Source: the annotation of a RefSeq genome assembly